UUGGGNGCUCUCCCNUAUGGUCGANCUGCAGGCGGCCGCGAAUUCACUAGUGAUUAGAGUUUGAUCCUGGCUCAGGAUGAACGCUGGCGGCGUGCCUAACACAUGCAAGUCGAACGAAGCAUUUUAGAUGAAGUUUUCGGAUGGAUUCUGAGAUGACUGAGUGGCGGACGGGUGAGUAACACGUGGAUAACCUGCCUCACACUGGGGGACAACAGUUAGAAAUGACUGCUAAUACCGCAUAAGCGCACAGUACCGCAUGGUACGGUGUGAAAAACUCCGGUGGUGUGAGAUGGAUCCGCGUCUGAUUAGCCAGUUGGCGGGGUAACGGCCCACCAAAGCGACGAUCAGUAGCCGACCUGAGAGGGUGACCGGCCACAUUGGGACUGAGACACGGCCCAAACUCCUACGGGAGGCAGCAGUGGGGAAUAUUGCACAAUGGGCGAAAGCCUGAUGCAGCGACGCCGCGUGAGUGAAGAAGUAUUUCGGUAUGUAAAGCUCUAUCAGCAGGGAAGAUAAUGACGGUACCUGACUAAGAAGCCCCGGCUAACUACGUGCCAGCAGCCGCGGUAAUACGUAGGGGGCAAGCGUUAUCCGGAUUUACUGGGUGUAAAGGGAGCGUAGACGGCAUGGCAAGUCUGAAGUGAAAACCCAGGGCUCAACCCUGGGACUGCUUUGGAAACUGUCAAGCUAGAGUGCAGGAGAGGUAAGUGGAAUUCCUAGUGUAGCGGUGAAAUGCGUAGAUAUUAGGAGGAACACCAGUGGCGAAGGCGGCUUACUGGACUGUAACUGACGUUGAGGCUCGAAAGCGUGGGGAGCAAACAGGAUUAGAUACCCUGGNUAGUCCACGCCGUAAACGAUGAGUGCUAGGUGUUGGGGGGGCAAAGCCCUUCGGUGCCGUCGCAAACGCAAUAAGCACUCCACCUGGGGGAGUACGUUCGCNAGAANGAAACUCAAAGGGAANUUGACGGGGGACCNGCACAAGCGG
RNAcentral lists this ribosomal RNA (985 nucleotides) under uncultured Clostridiales Family XIV bacterium. Its description in RNAcentral is "bacterial SSU rRNA". It matches the Rfam family "Bacterial small subunit ribosomal RNA", at positions 1 to 932 of the family's 1533-position model. Lineage: Bacteria; Bacillati; Bacillota; Clostridia; Eubacteriales; Clostridiales Family XIV. Incertae Sedis. The record is from RNAcentral.